UGCGACAUUUUUGAUAGGGAGUGUAGUUACUGAUGUUAAUAAAUAAACGUAUUUACACUUUUUCCAAGAUGUAAAAUACAAAGAUUUUUAUUAUUUCAAUCUGAAAUAAUAUAAUUGAUUUUUUGUUAAUAUUCUCACUGAAAAAGGCGUCUAAAAUAUGCCCAAUAAUUUCUAAAAAAUAGCAUCUUUUCACAGUUUGGAAAUGUUUUGCCAUACUAAUUCAUACAUAACUGUACAACUGAUUUUAUUUAUACAGCUUCGUGAAUAACUUGAUUCUCUGAUUCACACAUUUUAUCAGUAUUAAAAAGUUUAUAAGUUUACUAUGGCUUCAGCCUAAAUGUCUUGCUUCACUUAAAUCGCUCCCCUCCCUUUUUUUAACAUUAGAGGGAAAUAUAUUAAAUCAAUGAUUUUAAAAGAAUUGAAAAUGGGAAAUAGUGAGAAGGGGUCGGAAACUGACGGGUAAAUGAAACGCGACCAUCUUUUGCCAACGCGCCAUUGGGAAUUAUUUCAGUCACAACCAUGCCGUUUAAACCAUCGUUGACAAUUUCAAGAUUAAUACCUAUGAAAUUUUUGCAAUUAAUUGUAACACACAGUAGUCCGUUGUUGAAUAGAUUUUAAUGUUACCUAAUUGGUCAGAAGCUUUGUGAAUUUUGACUUCUGAUUCUAAUGUGACAGCAAUCGCUCACAUACUGGGCCAACAAUCAUAUGCUCUUCUUCUUCUUCUUCCUUUAAGGCAACAACACGAAAUUUUCAAACCAAUUUAAAU
Long non-coding RNA from Cimex lectularius (bed bug), 766 nucleotides. RefSeq lists it as uncharacterized. The transcript has 5 exons. Lineage: Eukaryota; Metazoa; Arthropoda; Insecta; Hemiptera; Cimicidae. The record is from RefSeq and is a predicted model, not a curated record.